This 429-nucleotide ribosomal RNA is filed under the name Pseudomonadota bacterium. Its description in RNAcentral is "Proteobacteria bacterium partial 16S ribosomal RNA". It matches the Rfam family "Bacterial small subunit ribosomal RNA", at positions 355 to 776 of the family's 1533-position model. Lineage: Bacteria; Pseudomonadati; Pseudomonadota. The record is from RNAcentral.
UGGGGAAUAUUGGACAAUGGGGGGAACCCUGAUCCAGCCAUGCCGCGUGUGUGAAGAAGGUCUUCGGAUUGUAAAGCACUUUAAGUUGGGAGGAAGGGCAGUAAGCGAAUACCUUGCUGUUUUGACGUUACCGACAGAAUAAGCACCGGCUAACUCUGUGCCAGCAGCCGCGGUAAUACAGAGGGUGCAAGCGUUAAUCGGAAUUACUGGGCGUAAAGCGCGCGUAGGUGGUUCGUUAAGUUGAAUGUGAAAGCCCCGGGCUCAACCUGGGAACUGCAUCCAAAACUGGCGAGCUAGAGUAGGGCAGAGGGGGGUGGAAUUUCCUGUGUAGCGGUGAAAUGCGUAGAUAUAGGAAGGAACACCAGUGGCGAAGGCGACCACCUGGGCUCAUACUGACACUGAGGUGCGAAAGCGUGGGGAGCAAACAGG